GAUGAGCAUGCGUCCCAUUAGUUAGUUGGUAAGGUAACGGCUUACCAAGACGAUGAUGGGUAGGGGUCCUGAGAGGGAGAUCCCCCACACUGGUACUGAGACACGGACCAGACUCCUACGGGAGGCAGCAGUGAGGAAUAUUGGUCAAUGGGCGCAAGCCUGAACCAGCCAUGCCGCGUGCAGGAUGAAGCAUCUAUGGUGUGUAAACUGCUUUUAUACGGGAAGAAACACCGAUUCGUGAAUCGGCUUGACGGUACCGUAAGAAUAAGGACCGGCUAACUCCGUGCCAGCAGCCGUGGUAAUACGGAGGGUCCAAGCGUUAUCCGGAAUCAUUGGGUUUAAAGGGUCCGUAGGCGGCCCGGUAAGUCAGUGGUGAAAUCUCCCCGCUCAACGGGGCAACGGCCAUUGAUACUGCCGGGCUUGAAUUACUAGGAAGUAACUAGAAUAUGUAGUGUAGCGGUGAAAUGCUUAGAGAUUACAUGGAAUACCAAUUGCGAAGGCAGGUUACUACUAGUGGAUUGACGCUGAUGGA
This 532-nucleotide ribosomal RNA is filed under the name uncultured Bacteroidota bacterium. RNAcentral describes it as "bacterial SSU rRNA". It matches the Rfam family "Bacterial small subunit ribosomal RNA", at positions 224 to 753 of the family's 1533-position model. The record is from RNAcentral. Lineage: Bacteria; Pseudomonadati; Bacteroidota.